RNAcentral lists this long non-coding RNA (601 nucleotides) under Sorghum bicolor (sorghum). RNAcentral describes it as "long non-coding RNA (SBIC_LNC011495)". The record is from RNAcentral. Lineage: Eukaryota; Viridiplantae; Streptophyta; Magnoliopsida; Poales; Poaceae.
UUGAUGAUUGAGCCUUUCUUUGUUGAGAGGAUUGUACUUUAGUCAUGGUGGAAAAGCCUGCAGAAAGGCGAGACUUUGUUGAUGGUGUUCUCCAAUCGCGAGUCAAGUUUGUCAAGUGAAUCCUACCGCUCCUUGUUGCUGCAGUAAAACACAGAUUAGGUGUGCAUGAUGUUAGCAGAAAAUAGCAGGCGUACCUGUCCCUUGUGCAGUGCCAGUUCCAGAUUGCUUUGAAAAAUGGAAUCCUGCGUGUGGCUGAAACUGGCCUUACUUUAUGAUGUUUUCCAAUAUGUUUUGGUUGAAACAUUCAUAUAUAAUGCGAAGGGAGAAAUGUGGGGUCAUACAUAUCCUGAAGCUGCAUUAUUGGUCCCUGGCACUGGUGCAUAAGCCAAGUGAAACAUGUUCAUCGCCUCGCAGCCUUGGCCCCUUUCAUCAGCCAAGUGAACAUGUUCCUUUAUAUUAAAAAAAGAUUAAAAAAAAACAUGUUCAUCCCAUCUCAUCGCAGCUUGCACAAAGUGAACGUAUUUCCUCUCUAUGCAGAGACCAUCACCCACAGUUUCAGUGCAGGCGCACAACACCGAUCAUGGUGCUGGACUGGCAUCUC